GAAGGACUCCAGAGACUCGAUGCUGAGGCUGGGGUCGGGGUCGCUCCCGCUGGCCGAUAAUAAGGUGUGAUCUCUGGACUGGACCUCCACCUCCACCUCCACCUCCACCUCCACCUCUGCAGGUUUUCCUGACUUGCUAGAAGUUCUUCUAUGGUGCUUGAGUCAUCCAUCAUAUCUGAGACCUUCGUCUUGACUUUGUCGCGAAUUUGGUGAGGAGUAAAGCUGGCUGGCUGCGGACAAGGAAGUAGGGCAAUACAUACAUACUUGUGCACAUACACAUAUAUGACAAUGCAUAUCUAUUCAGACCUGUAAUGCAUGUCAUUUUCACAUAGCUAUAGAUCAUCUUUUUUUUUCUCAAUUCUCUACUAUUUAUGGUUUCAUAAUGAGUGAGUCACCUCUAAUACAAAUGAGCUCCAGCUCUAAUACUGCUGUUGUCUGUAAUAUGUUUCUAUUUAGAGUAUUUGUCAGGAUAUUUUGUUAUUAUUGUCCCUAUUUGUCCUUAUCUCUCUGUCUCUCUUUCUCUUUCGCUCUCUCUCCCCCCUCCACCCAACCAGUAGAGGUAGCGCCCACCCCGAGUCUGGUUUUAACUAAGGGUUCUUCCCGUUAGUCUCGUCCUACCCCUAGUCAUGACAUGACCUCUGUUGUGAUUUGACACUAUAAUGAAUAAAGAUUGAUUGAUUGAUUGCUAUUGCUGUCAAUUUAGUCCUUGAGUUCAAAGCUAUGUGCUUUAUUUGUUCACUGCUAUCAAGAAAUAUGACUUUCCAAA
This is a long non-coding RNA of Cololabis saira (Pacific saury), 766 nucleotides long. RefSeq lists it as uncharacterized. The transcript is spliced from 3 exons. The record is from RefSeq and is a predicted model, not a curated record. Lineage: Eukaryota; Metazoa; Chordata; Actinopteri; Beloniformes; Belonidae.